GACGAACGCUGGCGGCGUGCUUAACACAUGCAAGUCGAACGGAAAGGCCCUGCUUUUGUGGGGUGCUCGAGUGGCGAACGGGUGUGUAACACGUGAGUAACCUGCCCUUGACUUUGGGAUAACUUCAGGAAACUGGGGCUAAUACCGGAUAGGAGCUCCUGCUGCAUGGUGGGGGUUGGAAAGUUUCGGCGGUAGGGGAUGGACUCGCGGCUUAUCAGCUUGUUGGUGGGGGAGUGGCUUACCAAGGCUUUGACUGGUAGCCGGCCUGGGAGGGUGACCGGCCACCUUGGGACUGCGGUACGGCCCAGUCUCCUACGGGAGGCAGCAGUGGAGAAUAUUGCACAAUGGGCGGAAGCCUGAUGCAGCAACGCCGCGUGCGGGAUGACGGCCUUCGGGUUGUAAACCGCUUUCGCCUGUGACGAAGCGUGAGUGACGGUAAUGGGUAAAGAAGCACCGGCUAACUACGUG
Molecule: ribosomal RNA, 468 nt
Filed under: uncultured bacterium
Lineage: Bacteria
Description: partial 16S ribosomal RNA
Rfam family: Bacterial small subunit ribosomal RNA
Source: RNAcentral